This 381-nucleotide ribosomal RNA is filed under the name Kocuria sp. RNAcentral's name for it is "bacterial SSU rRNA". It matches the Rfam family "Bacterial small subunit ribosomal RNA", at positions 685 to 1064 of the family's 1533-position model. Lineage: Bacteria; Bacillati; Actinomycetota; Actinomycetes; Micrococcales; Micrococcaceae. The record is from RNAcentral.
AAUGCGCAGAUAUCAGGAGGAACACCGAUGGCGAAGGCAGGUCUCUGGGCUGUUACUGACGCUGAGGAGCGAAAGCAUGGGGAGCGAACAGGAUUAGAUACCCUGGUAGUCCAUGCCGUAAACGUUGGGCACUAGGUGUGGGGGACAUUCCACGUUUUCCGCGCCGUAGCUAACGCAUUAAGUGCCCCGCCUGGGGAGUACGGCCGCAAGGCUAAAACUCAAAGGAAUUGACGGGGGCCCGCACAAGCGGCGGAGCAUGCGGAUUAAUUCGAUGCAACGCGAAGAACCUUACCAAGGCUUGACAUAUACCGGAUCGUUCCAGAGAUGGUUCUUCCCCUUUGGGGUCGGUAUACAGGUGGUGCAUGGUGUCGUCAGCUCGGU